CCUACGGGAGGCAGCAGUAGGGAAUAUUCCGCAAUGAGCGAAAGCUUGAUGGAGCGACACCGCGUGAGCGAUGAAGGUCUUCGGAUCGUAAACCGCUGUCAUAAGGGAAGAACGGUUACUGUACUAAUCAGCUGCAGAUUGACGGUACCUUCACAGGAAGCACCGGCUAACUCUGUGCCAGCAGCCGCGGUAAUACAUAGGGUGCGAGCGUUAAUCGGAAUUAAUGGGCGUAAAGCGCUCGUAGGCUGUAUGUCAAGUCCAGGGGGAAAUCCCCGGGGUCACCGUGGGGACUGCCUUGGAAACUGGCAAACUAGAGUGUGUGAGAGGAUAGCGGAAUUCCAUGGGAAGGAGUGAAAUGCGUAGAUAUAUGGAGGAACAUCAGUGGCGAAGGCGACUAUCUGGCUCUAAACUGACGCUGAGGAGCGAAAGCGUGGGGAGCAAACAGGAUUAGAUACCCCAGUAGUC
Molecule: ribosomal RNA, 465 nt
Filed under: uncultured bacterium
Lineage: Bacteria
Description: partial 16S ribosomal RNA
Rfam family: Bacterial small subunit ribosomal RNA
Source: RNAcentral